GUGAGGUCCUGUGUGAGAACCAGUCCUGAAGACAAUAAAAGCAAGAAAGGCAGCAAUCGGUCUAAUUUCGAAACUUCAUGCAGUCAGUACAUUCAGAAAGCCUUUGGUUAAAUUCUGCAUAAUUGGUUCCUGCUUAAGACAGAGCUUGCAGGAAUCCAGGAGGAGACAUGGGAGCAGAUAAAGAAUGAGUGGAAGAAACAAAAAACAGACACUCCUGAUUACAAGAACCUGCCAGAGGGGGUUGUACAACCUCCACCUUGGACUUUGAGAAAUCUAUGCACUCUGAAGAUGCCUGACUUGACCGGGCAGUUUACAGAGGCUCUGAAAGUCAAGUCCAUCUCUGUCUGGCUCAAAUGAUGCCUUGAUUACACCAUAAUGAAACUAAAGCACAGAUAUUUGGAGCAAACUUUCUACAAUAUCAGAACAUCCUCAACUAGACUGCUGUGGGUAAGCGAUCUCACAACCCCACUGUUUAAGGUUGUUUAUAAAGCUCUUUUCUUUUUACAUACUCUGCAGAGAAGAUUCUAUCCUAGACAGUAUAUGUAAGGUAGCAACCCGGAUGCUA
Long non-coding RNA from Felis catus (domestic cat), 565 nucleotides. RefSeq lists it as uncharacterized. Lineage: Eukaryota; Metazoa; Chordata; Mammalia; Carnivora; Felidae. The record is from RefSeq and is a predicted model, not a curated record. The transcript is spliced from 3 exons.